Non-coding RNA from Camelina sativa (false flax), 586 nucleotides. The record is from RefSeq and is a predicted model, not a curated record. NCBI's taxonomy places the organism in Eukaryota, Viridiplantae, Streptophyta, Magnoliopsida, Brassicales, Brassicaceae.
GAACAAGCUGAUAGUGAAACUGAGACUAGUCGUCCUCUCAUUCUUUCAGAUCAAGAGCAACAUAUACCACAAGGCAAAGAAUCUCUGCAUGAAAAGAAAAUACUCUCUCAAGAAAAGAAAAUUCAAAAGCUUAAUGAGCUGAUUCGAGAUCUAAGGAGGCAGUUGCUGCAAUGCAGAAAUGAAAAUGAGGUUGAGUUGAGGGAGCUAGAAACUGAGCUUGAUCAGCUGCUGUUAAGAGGUGUUUAAUCCAUUUUUACAGAUUGAAGCUUUGUCUCUCUAACCCUCCAUAAGCCUAAAUCCAGAUUCUUGAUCAAUCUAAAUACCAUAGCCCCUCUUUCUAAGCACUACACUUGACUGUACUUUGAAGGAGAAAUCAAAGACGAAUGGUCCUAUUUUGAAGUACAUCAAGUAUGUAUAGCCAAGGCAUGCCAUUUGGUUUAUUUUUCAUUUUCUUGUAUUUUUAUCAUAAUACUGAAAGUGUGGGACUACUUAGCUUGGUUGACUCAAUAACUUGGACUUUUAUGAAAAGACCAGAUUCUGCUAUAAAACUAGGACACACAAAAAAAAUAGAAAAAAAGCUACAACU